AUGUCGUCGCUGGUCUCUCCCCUCCACGGAUUAGUGGACGCCAACCAGUGGGACGGCGAGCGCCUCCUGGGUCGUCUAGUGAUCGUGCUCCACGCCGCCUUCCUCGAGUCGGGCUUCAUCGUGGCCCGCCGCCACAGCGGGGAUCCGUCGUAUACCUGCCGGCUUCCUACAGAGGUGGGCGCGACGGCCUCGACCCUCACCCUGGAGUACACCGCGCCGCAGCUGCUGCCGCGGCACGACAUGGACGGCGCCGCGCUGAGGAUGUGCACCAACGGGCGGCAUGUCAUCUUCUACCUGCAGCUGCAGGUCUGCUCUGUCCGGAUCCGCACGUACUGGGUCUGCCUGGACGCGCUCUCCCUCGCGCCGCUCUUGUCCGGCGGUCUGGACGACACGGGGCGCAAGCUGCUGCGGAGCGACGGCUCCCGGACGGCCACGCUCUGGAGGUCGGUCACCGGCGGGUUCUGCCGUCGCAUCCUGUCAGACAUAUGCCGCGAGCACGGCGUGGUGCCGGGGCGGGCGCCGCGCGCCCCCACCCUCACGUCCCUCCCAGGCGACGCCAUGGUGGCGAUCGUGGAGAGGCUCGCCGACGGGAAGGACCUAGCGAGCGUGGAGAGCACCUGCACCGAGCUGAGGCGCUUCGUGGCCGACCGGGACCGCCAGCUCUGGCUGCCCAGGUACAAGGCGCUGCCGGGGAACACGCUGUGGUGGUCGCUCCUCUGCGACAUCGACUCCGACGACGACCUGCCGGCGGCGAGCUGGAAGGAGAUGUUUGUGUGGGCCACGCGACAGAGGGAACACAGGCUCGUUCUGCCUACUCCUAGUCCUUUCCGCAGUUCACCGUGGUAUUCUUCCUUCAAUGGACGGGUGGAUGAUGACGUAGAAGAAGACGAUUCAUUUGAGGAGCUGCCGGUGGAUGCCGCUGCCUGCUUUGGAGAGAUGAUGACGGACACGGACACGGACACGGAGGACGACGGGGGUACGAAUACCACCGGUCGCCAUAGUAAGCCGCCGGCGACAAAAAGCCACGGGAAGCAGAAGCAACAGGGUCGUCGCACCCGCACCGUCACCGGCGCUAUCCACUCCCCGUCUUCUAGGUACCGAUGGAAGCACAGGUGA
RNAcentral lists this ribosomal RNA (1116 nucleotides) under Triticum aestivum (bread wheat). RNAcentral's name for it is "partial small subunit ribosomal RNA". The record is from RNAcentral. Lineage: Eukaryota; Viridiplantae; Streptophyta; Magnoliopsida; Poales; Poaceae.